CCUACGGGUUGUAAACUUCUUUUGUCAGGGAGCAAUUGAGUCCACGUGUGGGCUUAGCGAGAGUACCUGAAGAAAAAGCAUCGGCUAACUCCGUGCCAGCAGCCGCGGUAAUACGGAGGAUGCGAGCGUUAUCCGGAUUUAUUGGGUUUAAAGGGUGCGUAGGCGGAAUAUCAAGUCAGCGGUAAAAAUUCGGGGCUCAACCCCGUCGUGCCGUUGAAACUGAUGUUCUUGAGUGGGCGAGAAGUAUGCGGAAUGCGUGGUGUAGCGGUGAAAUGCAUAGAUAUCACGCAGAACUCCGAUUGCGAAGGCAGCUUACCAAGCUACGUCUGACGUUGAGGCACGAAAGCGUGGGGAGCUAACAGGAUUAGAUACCCUAGUAGUC
Molecule: ribosomal RNA, 382 nt
Filed under: uncultured bacterium
Lineage: Bacteria
Description: partial 16S ribosomal RNA
Rfam family: Bacterial small subunit ribosomal RNA
Source: RNAcentral